UCCAGGGAGCUGCUGAAGCUGAGAACCAAAAUCAGGAAAGAAGAAAACCUUUCUCAUGUGACAUCUGUAAAAAGCGUUUGUCUUUCAAAUCUGUGUUUGAUGCUCAUAUGAGAACUCAUACGGGUGAAAAGCCGUUUUCAUGUGUGACCUGUGGAAAAAGUUUUGGUGUAAAACGGAUUUUAACUCGGCACAUGAUGAUUCACACAGGUGAAAAGCCAUAUACAUGUAUGAACUGUGGAAAAAUCUUUAGUCGCAAAGAUAGUUUGACUCUCCACAUGAGGCGUCACACAGGUGAAAAGCCGUUUUCAUGUGUGACCUGUGGAGAAAGUUUUCGUCACAAGGUGAGUUUAAUUCACCACUUGAGGCGUCACACAGGUGAAAAGCAGUAGAAGUAUUUUCCAUACAUGUUCUAUGUUGAGGUUCACUAUAGAACUGAUU
Molecule: long non-coding RNA, 438 nt
Organism: Xiphophorus hellerii (green swordtail)
Lineage: Eukaryota; Metazoa; Chordata; Actinopteri; Cyprinodontiformes; Poeciliidae
Exons: 3
Source: RefSeq, a predicted model, not a curated record